This 2474-nucleotide long non-coding RNA is filed under the name Homo sapiens (human). RNAcentral's name for it is "long non-coding RNA NONHSAT097375.2". The stretch from base 288 to 395 matches the Rfam family "FAM13A antisense RNA 1 conserved region 2". Lineage: Eukaryota; Metazoa; Chordata; Mammalia; Primates; Hominidae. The record is from RNAcentral.
GUCAGAACUGAGUUCUUGCUGAGGUUUGCAUUGGGCCCUGUCUCCGGGCAGCUGCAGCAUAACACGGAGUCACCCUUGCUGUCUAAGCCUUGUGGCUGGAGGGGAAGAGUGAGGACCAAGCUGUCAACAAUCCCAGACCUGCCAAGCCCCAUUUGUCUGUGUGCCUGCCAGGAUUCUAAGACUGCAUUUGGGAAUUUUGACUUUUACUGAAUGUGAAAUUCUGUGUAUAUAUAGCCUUGGUGAGCUGACCCAGUCAGGGAUGACUCUGAUGUACUUUUGUCUUACAGGAUUCAGAAUCCAUGGCUGGAAGAGGUAGUAAGGCCAUUGGGAGGGCAUGCCUCUCCUCAGCCCACCCCCACCCUGUGUGGGUCUCCAUUCUGAAAUUUCCAUUCAGAUGACCCGGUCCUAGGCAGGGACCAAAAUUCCUUGUCAGCUGAGGAAGUCCUGAAGAAACAUCCUGAAGAUGAUGACUGCACUGCCAUCGUGGGCAGAUGCAGCUUCCAUCUACCUGAGGGCUGAAGGGGAAAACCUUUCACACACGUGAGGAAGGCGCAGCUCUGUGGAAAGGUCACUAGAAUGGCAGCGGCAGCAAAUAGGGCUCCAAUGCACGUUUGCAGUUAACUGGGUCCAAGGAGAGCAUGGCCCUCCACAGCAAGUUUGCUCUAUAGAAUAAAGUCCUGAGCUUGUUUUUAUCACAGUUAGACAGAGAAUGGUCUCUUGUUUCUCAGUUAUCCAGGGAAGAACAGUGUAUAUUCUCUGUAGAUGAGUGUUGUCUAAUGUAGUGAUUAAUCUCUGCUAGUGUUAGGAAAGCUCCACUACUGUGUGUGUGUGUGCGUGCAUGCGCGUGCGCAUGUGCACAUACUGCAGUCUUGACUUUCCAAUUACAAAAUGCCUAAGUCAGGUCACAUUGUCUUCUUCCAGCCAGUUUCUAAGGCAGGCAAUGGAAACAGGAGCCGAUGCCAAAUGGUCUAGAGGCAGAAGGGCUGCAUGCUUUGCAGGGCCAGCCCCAAGGCUGCCUUCCAGAGCUGCACUUUCUCUGGGGACAGUAAACUCUCACCGCAGCUGCCAGCCCCCUGUGCUUGGCCAUGCCCCUCACAUGGACUUGGAAUCAGUGUCUCUCUUGCUGAUGAGCACCUCCAGGAGCCUCAGUUUCGCCUUUAUGUGCUUAUAUUCACUGUAUUCUUCAGCCAUAGGAGUGCGGUCUUCCUUCUGGACAUUUCUAAUGCAAAUAAAGGAAAAAGGGGUCUGAGGAUCAUUUUCUGUCUUUGCUAGAUACUAUUCAUCGGGCAAAUUAUCAUUGUUUAGAAACUUUGCAGUUUAUCAACUUGUAGAAUCAGUGUUGCCGAGUGGCCCUUGGUCUCAAGACUGGGGCUGGAUUUAGACAAGUAAUGAAAAUGUUUCACCCAGAAGGCAACAUGCAACUGAGUUUUUAUAUAGUUAAUCUGGCAUCCUGUAUGAUAAGAAGGCUAAGAAAUGCAGAAAUUCUCUCUGCUAAGUAUGAAUUCACAUUGAGCUCUCAUACACCAAAAUCUUUUAUUCAUACUUAAUGUUUUCUCAUUCUUAUAUAUUUCAUCUCGUGAAAUUUUAAAUUUUUAAUUAGCAACUGGUCCACAACUUAGUUUUUUUUUUUUUUUUUUUUUCCAAAAACAGAUAGUUAAUACUCCUACUUAUCAUAAAACUGUGUUAGAAUUCAGCAGCUGGAUUACAUAAUACUAUUAUAAUAAGCCUUUAUUAUUGAGUAACUUUACAUACAUAAUAUUUAUAUGCACAAGUAUUUGAGAGCUUAUAGGUCAAGCCCUGUGCUAAGUACUUUGUACCCAUGAUCUGAUAGAACCCUUAUAACACCUUGAUGAGAUGCAGCCAUUUUCUACACACUACACAUGAUGAAACCAGCACAGGAAAUCAGAUAACUUGCCUGCUCUUGGCCACCACGCGGUGCGCUGCUGCUUUGUGUUUUAUGGGAAAUUGCACAUGGCAAACAUUCAACCAUAGGCUUCCUGCCUUUAUUAUUAAAGGGCAAAUAUGGGUAAGGAGGAUAGCAUGGGGCUUGAUUUGUUCAAUGACCUAAAAAUAAACUGAUCUUAUUCAUACCCUGCCUUGUUCUAGGAAAGGAUUCUAGUGGCUUCUCAGCAGAGGGCAGGGCAAGGAACAGGUGCUCAGGAAUUGGAGCAUCUGGCACGCAGGCCCCCACUGCACUCUGAGGGGCUUCACUCUCCUCAGACACGAAGUCAUGGAACCAGAGCUUAUCUCCUAAGUCCCUCAUAGUUCUAAACUUUUUUGACAAUUAAGUUAACGUCCUCCAUUGACAUUUUCUUAAAACCUGGGUGGUUUGCGUAAUUCUACAUGUAUAAGAUAUCUGUGCAUAAUGUGACUUAGAAUAAUAUAAAAAAGGAUAAGCCAAAAAAUAGGCUUAGAUGAAAGACUGGAAAGAUACACGUCAAAACAUUAAUUCUGACUUGUCUUUGGUUAUUAUU